This 373-nucleotide ribosomal RNA is filed under the name uncultured organism. RNAcentral describes it as "bacterial SSU rRNA". It matches the Rfam family "Bacterial small subunit ribosomal RNA", at positions 526 to 896 of the family's 1533-position model. The record is from RNAcentral.
CGUAGGGCGCAAGCGUUGUCCGGAAUUAUUGGGCGUAAAGAGCUCGUAGGCGGUCUGUCGCGUCGGAUGUGAAAGCCCGGGGCUUAACCCCGGGUCUGCAUUCGAUACGGGCAGACUAGAGUGUGGUAGGGGAGAUCGGAAUUCCUGGUGUAGCGGUGAAAUGCGCAGAUAUCAGGAGGAACACCGGUGGCGAAGGCGGAUCUCUGGGCCAUUACUGACGCUGAGGAGCGAAAGCGUGGGGAGCGAACAGGAUUAGAUACCCUGGUAGUCCACGCCGUAAACGGUGGGAACUAGGUGUUGGCGACAUUCCACGUCGUCGGUGCCGCAGCUAACGCAUUAAGUUCCCCGCCUGGGGAGUACGGCCGCAAGGCUA